GACGAACGCUGGCGGCGUGCUUAACACAUGCAAGUCGAGCGGUAAGGCCCUUUCGGGGGUACACGAGCGGCGAACGGGUGAGUAACACGUGGGUGACCUGCCCUCAGCUCUGGGAUAAGCCUGGGGAACCGGGUCUAAUACUGGAUAUGACUCCAUGACGCAUGUUGUGGGGUGGAAAGCCUUGUGCGGCUGAGGAUGGGCCCGCGGCCUAUCAGCUUGUUGGUGGGGUGANGGCCUACCAAGGCGACGACGGGUAGCCGGCCUGAGAGGGCGACCGGCCACACUGGGACUGAGACACGGCCCAGACUCC
This 310-nucleotide ribosomal RNA is filed under the name uncultured bacterium. RNAcentral describes it as "bacterial SSU rRNA". It matches the Rfam family "Bacterial small subunit ribosomal RNA", at positions 28 to 339 of the family's 1533-position model. The record is from RNAcentral.